RNAcentral lists this ribosomal RNA (468 nucleotides) under uncultured bacterium. RNAcentral describes it as "partial 16S ribosomal RNA". It matches the Rfam family "Bacterial small subunit ribosomal RNA", at positions 28 to 507 of the family's 1533-position model. The record is from RNAcentral.
GACGAACGCUGGCGGCGUGCUUAACACAUGCAAGUCGAACGGAAAGGCCCUGCUCUUGUGGGGUGCUCGAGUGGCGAACGGGUGAGUAACACGUGAGUAACCUGCCCUUGACUUUGGGAUAACUUCAGGAAACUGGGGCUAAUACCGGAUAGGAGCUCCUGCUGCAUGGUGGGGGUUGGAAAGUUUCGGCGGUUGGGGAUGGACUCGCGGCUUAUCAGCUUGUUGGUGGGGUAGUGGCUUACCAAGGCUUUGACGGGUAGCCGGCCUGAGAGGGUGACCGGCCACAUUGGGACUGAGAUACGGCCCAGACUCCUACGGGAGGCAGCAGUGGGGAAUAUUGCACAAUGGGCGGAAGCCUGAUGCAGCAACGCCGCGUGCGGGAUGACGGCCUUCGGGUUGUAAACCGCCUUCGCCUGUGACGAAGCGUGAGUGACGGUAAUGGGUAAAGAAGCACCGGCUAACUACGUG